Long non-coding RNA from Trichosurus vulpecula (common brushtail), 1200 nucleotides. RefSeq lists it as uncharacterized. Lineage: Eukaryota; Metazoa; Chordata; Mammalia; Diprotodontia; Phalangeridae. The record is from RefSeq and is a predicted model, not a curated record. The transcript is spliced from 5 exons.
AAGGCCCUCUUCCCGCCCCCGCCCACCCGUACCGCUCCCUCUUUCAAGACUCCCACCCAUUAGGCUAAGACCUUUCCUCCAGACUCCAUCCGCUGGACUUCCAUCCCCCUCCUCAGCGCCCCCUGCCUAACGAUCCUCCCCCCGCCCGCCCUCAGGACAGCCUUCCUUCUCUCGAACCACCCCCUUCUCCUCCCUCCUCCAUCUCCCCGCUUUUAGACUCCCCCCUUCCAAAAGCCCCUUCUAGGAUCCCCUUCUCCCCACACUCUCCUCAAGACCCUUACCUUAAGUCCUUCCCCUCCCCCGUUUCCACAGCAACCCCCCUCCAAGCCCCCUUGGGCAUCCUCUCAGGGACCCGCGCCUCCCACCCCUACAGCCUGGGGGGGGGGGUUGCCUCAGUUUCCCCAGCCUAGCCCUCUGUCCAGGGAGGUCAGAGGUGUGUCUGUCUAUGGCUAUGUGUCCCCAGGACUCCAUGGACCCGUAGCGCCUCAUCUCCUGGGACCUCUGACUGCACCUCCCCUGGUUGCUGGCCCCUGAUAGAUUGAUCGAUUGAUUGACCGGGGAGGGGCCAGACUUCCAAGUCCAGCUGGAAGCCUCCCACUUGUCAUUCCUUUGUGGAGCUGAGAGCAUAGGAUGGAUUCGAGGGUGCCUGAGGCUCCCUGCUCCCUAGGCCAGGGAGAUGGGUAGGAGGGGUAGGAGAGGCCCUCCCCUCCCCACCAGCCCUCAUGUGGUUCUUCUGGGCCCUCCUUGUGUUGGUUCACCCCCUGGGGGGUCCCCCUCUGGGGCCCCCCAGCUGCCCUUGGGAGCCCCUCGAGGUUCUUAUGGCUAUCAUGGAGGCCCUAGGCGAUAGAAAUGACGGGACCCUUUACACUCCGGAUAGUCUCUCUGCUGGAGGCCUUUAGAGGCCUAGAUUUCCAGGGUCCCCUGUUACCACAUCUGGAGUGCCAGCAGGUCCUAGGGUAGGAGGGAACUAGGGAAGACCAGAGAAGGAAGAGAAGGCAGAUAUGACAGGUGAUGAUGCUGCUGCCCUCACCCCAAUGCGGCACCUUCCACCUUCCAUGGACAGGACUGCUUCCGCCUUUAGGAUCCCUAAAGUUCCCCUUUCUCCCAACCCCUCCCCAGGCUGUGUCCUGACCCUAGCACUUGGCUGGGCAUCCAGUUGGCAUUUACAUGUUUAUCAAAUAAAAGUGUGAAUAUCAGGGA